Long non-coding RNA from Bradysia coprophila, 152 nucleotides. NCBI's taxonomy places the organism in Eukaryota, Metazoa, Arthropoda, Insecta, Diptera, Sciaridae. The record is from RefSeq and is a predicted model, not a curated record.
UUAUCGAUAUCAUCUACUAAUUAAACCAUUUUAGAAACGGCUAGUCAUCAUCAGUUAUCGACAACUACGUCAACAAAGAGCAAUGACAUCUGGCUAAGGUUCUCUCUGGCAAAAUUUAUGGUAAAACUAAUGAAGUAAAAGAUUUUAUAUCA